UGUAAGAAUCUACACAGAGCUAUUGCAUUUUGUGAGAUGCUAUAUGACUGUGCCUCCAUAUUUAUGUUAAACUCAGAAUAUUAUUCUGUGUUAUUUCCCUCAUUGGUGUGUGUGUGUGUGUGUGUGUGUGUGUGUGUUUUGCUAGAAUCAAACUGGGGCACAGUAGUACAU
RNAcentral lists this small RNA (171 nucleotides) under Marmota monax (woodchuck). The record is from RNAcentral. Lineage: Eukaryota; Metazoa; Chordata; Mammalia; Rodentia; Sciuridae.